This 1014-nucleotide ribosomal RNA is filed under the name uncultured Lactobacillus sp. RNAcentral's name for it is "bacterial SSU rRNA". It matches the Rfam family "Bacterial small subunit ribosomal RNA", at positions 1 to 1010 of the family's 1533-position model. The record is from RNAcentral. Lineage: Bacteria; Bacillati; Bacillota; Bacilli; Lactobacillales; Lactobacillaceae.
GGGUGGCGUUGCUAUAAUGCAGUCGACGCGUUGGCCCAACUGUUUGGACGUGCUUGCACGGACUUGACGUUGGUUUACCAGCGAGUGGCGGACGGGUGAGUAACACGUAGGUAACCUGCCCCAAAGCGGGGGAUAACAUUUGGAAACAGAUGCUAAUACCGCAUAACAAUUUGAAUCGCAUGAUUCAAACUUAAAAGAUGGCUUCGGCUAUCACUUUGGGAUGGACCUGCGGCGCAUUAGCUUGUUGGUAGGGUAACGGCCUACCAAGGCUGUGAUGCGUAGCCGAGUUGAGAGACUGAUCGGCCACAAUGGAACUGAGACACGGUCCAUACUCCUACGGGAGGCAGCAGUAGGGAAUCUUCCACAAUGGGCGCAAGCCUGAUGGAGCAACACCGCGUGAGUGAAGAAGGGUUUCGGCUCGUAAAGCUCUGUUGUUAGAGAAGAACGUGCGUGAGAGCAACUGUUCACGCAGUGACGGUAUCUAACCAGAAAGUCACGGCUAACUACGUGCCAGCAGCCGCGGUAAUACGUAGGUGGCAAGCGUUAUCCGGAUUUAUUGGGCGUAAAGCGAGCGCAGGCGGUUUGAUAAGUCUGAUGUGAAAGCCUUUGGCUUAACCAAAGAAGUGCAUCGGAAACUGUCAGGCUUGAGUGCAGAAGAGGACAGUGGAACUCCAUGUGUAGCGGUGGAAUGCGUAGAUAUAUGGAAGAACACCAGUGGCGAAGGCGGCUGUCUGGUCUGCAACUGACGCUGAGGCCCGAAAGCAUGGGUAGCGAACAGGAUUAGAUACCCUGGUAGUCCAUGCCGUAAACGAUGAGUGCUAGGUGUUGGAGGGUUUCCGCCCUUCAGUGCCGCAGCUAACGCAUUAAGCACUCCGCCUGGGGAGUACGACCGCAAGGUUGAAACUCAAAGGAAUUGACGGGGGCCCGCACAAGCGGUGGAGCAUGUGGUUUAAUUCGAAGCUACGCGAAGAACCUUACCAGGUCUUGACAUCUUGCGCCAACCCUAGAGAUAGG